RNAcentral lists this ribosomal RNA (429 nucleotides) under Chloroflexota bacterium. RNAcentral describes it as "Chloroflexi bacterium partial 16S ribosomal RNA". It matches the Rfam family "Bacterial small subunit ribosomal RNA", at positions 355 to 776 of the family's 1533-position model. Lineage: Bacteria; Bacillati; Chloroflexota. The record is from RNAcentral.
UGGGGAAUAUUGCACAAUGGGCGCACGCCUGAUGCAGCCAUGCCGCGUGUGUGAAGAAGGCCUUCGGGUUGUAAAGCACUUUCAGCGGGGAGGAAGGCGAUAAGGUUAAUAACCUUGUCGAUUGACGUUACCCGCAGAAGAAGCACCGGCUAACUCCGUGCCAGCAGCCGCGGUAAUACGGAGGGUGCAAGCGUUAAUCGGAAUUACUGGGCGUAAAGCGCACGCAGGCGGUUGAUUGAGUCAGAUGUGAAAUCCCCGGGCUUAACCCGGGAAUUGCAUCUGAUACUGGUCAGCUAGAGGCUUGUAGAGUGGGGUAGAAUUCCAUGUGUAGCGGUGAAAUGCGUAGAGAUGUGGAGGAAUACCGGUGGCGAAGGCGGCCCCCUGGACAAAGACUGACGCUCAGGUGCGAAAGCGUGGGGAGCAAACAGG